This 609-nucleotide ribosomal RNA is filed under the name uncultured euryarchaeote. RNAcentral describes it as "bacterial SSU rRNA". It matches the Rfam family "Archaeal small subunit ribosomal RNA", at positions 83 to 697 of the family's 1478-position model. The record is from RNAcentral. Lineage: Archaea; Methanobacteriati; Methanobacteriota.
CGGCUCAGUAACACGUGGAUAACCUACCCUCAGAUCUGGGAUAACUCCGGGAAACUGGAGAUAAUACCGGAUAAUCCGUGAACGCUGGAAUGCCUUACGGUUGAAAGCUUUAGCGUCUGAGGAUGGGUCUGCGGCCGAUUAGGUAGUUGCUGGGGUAACGUCCCAACAAGCCGAUAAUCGGUACGGGUUGUGAGAGCAAGAGCCCGGAGAUGGAUUCUGAGACACGAAUCCAGGUCCUACGGGGCGCAGCAGGCGCGAAAACUCUACACUGCGCGAAAGCGCGAUAAGGGGACCUCGAGUGCGUGCGCAAAGCGUACGCUUUUCAGAUGCCUAAAAAGCAUCUGGAAUAAGGGCCGGGCAAGACCGGUGCCAGCCGCCGCGGUAACACCGGCGGCUCAAGUGGUGGCCGCUAUUAUUGGGCUUAAAGGGUCCGUAGCCGGACCAGUUAGUCCCUUGGGAAAUCUUACGGCUUAACCGUAAGGCUGCCAAUGGAUACUGCUGGUCUUGGGACCGGGAGAGGCAAGAGGUACCUCAGGGGUAGGAGUGAAAUCCUGUAAUCCUUGAGGGACCGCCAGUGGCGAAGGCGUCUUGCUAGAACGGGUCCGACGG